AGAUUGAACGCUGGCGGCAUGCCUUACACAUGCAAGUCGAACGGCAGCACGGGAGCAAUCCUGGUGGCGAGUGGCGAACGGGUGAGUAAUAUAUCGGAACGUGCCCAGUCGUGGGGAUAACGCAGCGAAAGCUGUGCUAAUACCGCAUACGAUCUAGUGGACGAAAGCGGGGAUCGCAAGACCUCGCGCGAGUUGGAGCGGCCGUAUAUCAGUAUUAGCUAGUUGGUAGGGUAAACGCCUACGAAGGCGACGAUC
Molecule: ribosomal RNA, 255 nt
Filed under: uncultured soil bacterium
Lineage: Bacteria
Description: partial 16S ribosomal RNA
Rfam family: Bacterial small subunit ribosomal RNA
Source: RNAcentral